GCAGAAAGAUUUAAUUUGGGCAACUUUGAUUCUUAAGAGAAAACAAAGCAUGUGAAUAAACAUUGAAGUGUUUGCCUCAGUUUGGGACCAAACUGCUUGGAUCUUUGUAGAAACCGGUUUUGUAUGUCACGGAGGAGUUUAAGGCCUUUCUGACCACCCUGUGUUCCCCUUUCUGCACAGCCAUGUGUCACGUGGAGUUGCUCCCAGCCUCCCCUUGCACCCUGCUCUUGUCUGGUUUCUCCUGGGCUGGGCUCCCAUUGUCCACCAGCAGCCACUGUCCUCCACUUUGUAGUCCUGCUGGUCCUCAGCAAAGGGAGGGAACUGGAGGGCAGUUUCUGGUCUGUUUUCUAAGAAACUUCUGAAUUCUAUUAUCUUUACAAAUAUAAGAUGAGAAAAUAAUUUUUUCAAUAUUUUUAUUGAUCUUUUUAUAAAAUGAAAAGAAACUCCUAUGAUCGAUUAAGGAUGGUGGUUAUGGCUGGGUGGUUUGUGGGGUUGUGUGUUUUUGGUUUGUUUGUUUGUUUUAACCUUAAAUUUGAGUUGAAACGCUUUCAGAUGUUUGAGGGGGAACAUCCUCAUAAAAGGGUCCUUGUGCUUGCCUUCCGGGGAGGCGGUCCCGAGCAGGUGAACACAGCAUAUGGUCUCUGUGCACAUGGUCUCUGUGCAUGUGGUCUCUGUGCACGUGGUCUAUGCCGACUGCAACUCCUCUUCCCCCAGUCUUUGCUCGUGGGUUGUUACUACUUCCCCUUACUUUGCUAAUUUCUAUAGUUAAGUUGGUUUUACUUGAAUGAUUCAUGUUUAGGGAAGAAAAGAAAAACACCCUUAAGUUAUUGUUUCAACUCCUCCUGCAAAUAAAAACAAUAAAUGAAAAAAAAAA
This is a non-coding RNA of Peromyscus maniculatus bairdii (prairie deer mouse), 874 nucleotides long. The record is from RefSeq and is a predicted model, not a curated record. NCBI's taxonomy places the organism in Eukaryota, Metazoa, Chordata, Mammalia, Rodentia, Cricetidae.